GGGGUUGUGGCUUAGCGGUAGAGCGCUCUUCUAGCACGUGUGAGGCCCUGGGUUCGAUCCUCAGCACCACA
This 71-nucleotide transfer RNA is filed under the name Marmota monax (woodchuck). Its description in RNAcentral is "tRNA.Ala". It matches the Rfam family "tRNA". From Rfam's summary of the family: Transfer RNA (tRNA) molecules are approximately 80 nucleotides in length. The record is from RNAcentral. Lineage: Eukaryota; Metazoa; Chordata; Mammalia; Rodentia; Sciuridae.